Long non-coding RNA from Cherax quadricarinatus, 1200 nucleotides. RefSeq lists it as uncharacterized. NCBI's taxonomy places the organism in Eukaryota, Metazoa, Arthropoda, Malacostraca, Decapoda, Parastacidae. The record is from RefSeq and is a predicted model, not a curated record.
GUCGUCUGCUGAGCCUGCUGUAGCUGCUACUGCUGCUGCUGCUGCACCUGCUGCUGCACCUACUGCUGCAUCUGCACCUACUGCUGCAUCUGCACCUGCUGCUGCACCUACUUUAACACUCUCGUCAUGAAAUUCUUGGUGUUGUUGCAGGUGUUGUUGGUGGUGGUGCUGGCAGCAGUGACCUCUGCCAACCCCUGGCACAGGUUCAGAACCAGUGACGGGAUCCGCAGCCUGUCCCGGCCCUCUCUUAGCUGGGGUCUGCCCCGGAGUCUAUCGCCGUCUAACGCUGUCUACAUAGACAGAAGUGAUGAGAGCUUUGAGGACGACUCCCUAGAGAGCUUCGAGCUUAGACGACGCUAUUUCUUGGGCUAGAAGAGCUGGGGUUGUUGGAUGAUGGAAGAAGGACUGUAUCAACUCUCUGUGUCGUCAUUCUUAGGAUAGAUGGAAGGUGAAGAACCAGUGGAUAGAUGUACAAUCAGUCCUCUGUAUCUACUAUCCUGAAACCACAACUACGAGGAUAGAUAAAGAGUUGAAGAACUAAGGAAAAGGCGUCUAUUCAACCUCUAUUUCCCCCAUUUUACCGACAGCACCCCAGGAUAGACAGGAGAAAUUGAAAACCUACCUGAAAACUCUACAUCCUCAACUUCUCAUCUAUCCCAAGAGAUCCUCCUAUCAAUCGGCUCUUCAACCCAGUGAAAGUCAACUGUGAGCUGGACAGAGAGAGUGGAGCAUACUCCCACUUUCCCAAUAGACAGGUCAACUGUCCCCUUCAACCAUCAUCAAUCUGGACACAGACACAGUAUACAUACCAAGACUUAAUUUUAGACAAAAUCUUUCUAAGAAUUGACCUAUCAAGUCUUCCUCUUGUCUAAAUGCCCUAAUGUCUAAAUACCCUAUUGUCUAAAUAUUCUAGUGUUUAAAUACUCUAUUGUCUAAGUACCCUAGUGUGUAGAUACCCUAUUGUCUAAAUACCCUAUUGUCUAAGCCCCUAUUAUCUAAACACCUUUGUGUCUAAAUACCAUAGUGUCUAAAUACCCUAGUGUCUAAACACCCUAAUGUCUAAAUAUCCUAGUGUCUGAACACCCUAUUGUCUAAUAUGUAAGUUUUCUGUCGGCUGUGUCUAAACCCUCAGCUUGUCAGCUUAAGUCCAGUAAGCUGACACAGAAAUAUACAUCAGAAUACACGACGAUCAUCCAAAAA